AGGCCUAACAGCGUCUCGUCGGCUCCAAGACAACGGGCCGCCUCUGGCACGACGUCUACGGCGGGCGCCGAGACCCAAAGUUCCUCGAGGCUGGAUCUCAGCUGACUGGAGCAAGAGAGACUCUCCUGCUUGCCUUGAAGAAGCCACCUGCUAUGAUGCCGCCUUUAGGGCCAGCGGUCUCACGUCCUAUAGGUGCAAGGAGCUGAAAUCUGCCAACAACCUGAAAGACCUUGGAAGCGGAUCUUUCCCCAGGAAAACUUCUGAUGAGGCCUUAGCCCCAGGAAAUAUCUGGAUUGCAGCCUGGUUGUGACCCUAAGCAGAAAACCCAGCUUUGAUAAAAUAGUGUCCAAGUUAUGAGAGAGCCACAUGUCUAGGAACUGAGGGCAGCCUUUAAGAGCUGAGAGCCAGCAAGAAAAUAAUAACUCCAGUCAUCCAACCACAAGGAACCAAUUCUGCUAAGGAACCUGAUUGAGCCUGGAAGGGGACCUCAAACCUCAGAUGAGAUCACAUCCCUGCAGACACCUUGAUUCCAGGGCUUCCCUGGUGGCGCAGUGGUUAAGAAUCUACCUGCCAAUGCAGGGGACACACGUUUGAGCCCUGGUUCUGGAAGAUCCCACAUGCCGUGGAGCAACUAAGCCCGUGCACCACAACUGCUGAGCCUGCGCUCUAGAGCCCGCAAGCCACAACUACUGAAGCCUGCGUGCCUAGAGCCCGUGCUCUGCAACAGGAGAAACCACCGCAAUGAGAAGCCUGCACACUGCCACGAAGAGUAGCCUUCGCUCGCUGCAACUAGAGAAAGCCCACACAUAGCAACGAAGACCCAAUGCAGCCAAAAAUAAAUAAAUAAAAUAAAUUUAUUUUAAAAAUUAUAUACUAUAUAUACUCCUCUGUAUCUGGCUUCUUUCAUUUUGCAGAAUGUUUUGAGGUUCAUCCAUAUUGAUACAUGUAUCAGUAAUUUGCUCCUUUUUACUGCUGUCUUAUUUUGCAUUCUAUGGAUAUACUGCAGUUUGUUUCACAUGUUGGACAUUUGGGUCAUUUCCAGUUAUCAUUAAUAAAGUUGCCAAUAGCAAUCAUGCAUAAGUCUUUUUGUGGAUAUAGAUUUUAAUUUCUUUUGAGUAAAUUCCUAGGAGUGGAAUUACUGGGUCGUAUGGUAGGUGUAUUUUUAACUGCCAUCUGUUUUCCAUAACAGUUGUACCAUUUUACAUUCCCACCAACAAUGUAGCUCCAUCAUAUGUCAAUCUGUUCAAUUUUGCCAUUCCAUUGGGUAUGUAGUGGUACCUCGUUAUGGUUUUAACAUGUAUUUCCCUGAUGACUAAUGGUAUUAAUCAUCUUUUCAUGUGCUGAUUGAACAUUUGUAAAUCCUUUUUGUAAAUUGUCUGUUUAUGUCAUUUCACAUUUAAAAAAUGUUGUUUGGUUUCGUAUUAUUGAAUUUUGUAAGAGCAAAGUCCGUUGUUAGAUAUGUGUAUUGAGAAUAUCUUCUCUCAGUCUCUGGCUUGCCUUUCCAUUUCUUAAUUUUUUUCUUCCAAAGAGCAGAAGUGUUUAGUUCUUAAUGUUAAUGAAGUUUAAUUGAUAAUUUUUUCUUUUCUAUUUAAUAUUUUCUGUGUACUGAGAAAUCUUUCUCAACCCGAGAUCACAACAGUUUUCUUCUAGAAGUCUUAACAGUUUUAGAUUUUCAUUUAUGUAUAUGAUCUGUUUCAGGUUAAUUUUAAUGUAUGAUAUGAGGAAAGGUAGAGGUUCAUUUUUGUCCCUCAUGAGAUUCCUUUAUUUUCUAUAUGAAUAUUCAUUUGUUCUAGCACCACUUUUUUUGUUGAAGUAUAGUUGAUAUACAAUAUUAUUGGGUUGGCCAAAAAGUGCCUUUGGUGUUUAAGUAAAAAUAAAAGACACAUUUUUCAUUUUCACCAAUAAUUUUAUUGAACAACAGAUUCAUCGUUUUGUUCCACUACCUUCUGCCAUUUUUCAGGCAACUUCAUAAUUCUCUCUUCCCAAAACUUUUUAUCUUUUUGAGCAAAGAACUCUUCCAGGUGCCUUUUACAGUCUUCCAGGGAAUUGAAAUUUUUUCCAUUAAGAG
Molecule: long non-coding RNA, 2068 nt
Organism: Physeter macrocephalus (sperm whale)
Lineage: Eukaryota; Metazoa; Chordata; Mammalia; Artiodactyla; Physeteridae
Exons: 4
Source: RefSeq, a predicted model, not a curated record